Molecule: long non-coding RNA, 1947 nt
Organism: Acanthopagrus latus (yellowfin seabream)
Lineage: Eukaryota; Metazoa; Chordata; Actinopteri; Spariformes; Sparidae
Exons: 8
Source: RefSeq, a predicted model, not a curated record
CAUGGGUGCUUCACUAUUUUUUUCAAAUAAUCCAUGAUCUCAGCAUCAGAAUAAUGGAUUGUUAACAAGUGGAUUUAAGUUCAGAAUUUAGAGUAUUUAUCCAGAUCCUAAUUGUUUAAACUACAGUACUUUGGGGAUUAAGGGAACAUUUAAUUGUCACAGUAUAACACCAAAUCAGUUAAAGUUCAAGGAUAUCAAUUCCACCUGCAUUGAUGCAAAUCCCCGGAAGAGCUGAAGGAAGUGUCUGGGGAGAGGGAAGUCUGGGUGACACCAAGUGCAGUCACAGACUUCAGGCACUCACUAAUGCGCUGAUCCAGGUCUGGGAAGAGACCCCUCGGGACACCAGCUGCUGACUCAUCAGCUACAUGCCCAAACGUUGUCAGGUGCUCUGAGGACAGUGUGUCAGAUCUGUGUGGAUUUUUUCUUCCCUCCUGCCUGUACUGGGUCACACUGCCUGUCCCAGUUGCCAACUCAAGGGAAAGAAAAUUGUGGGAGCUUAAUGCGAUCGAUCGGCCAGGCCCUUUCAAGAUCAGCGCCAGUAUAAGCAUCUCUUCCCCUAACACACAUGCUGCCUCUUUCCCCUCAGGUAAUGACUGUCCUUGGGCUGGGGGGAAUAGUUUGUCUGCAUUAAGAGAGAGAAGUGUUUCUCGUAGCAUCCAGUCCCUCUUCGUCCUCGCUGCUCCUCAGUAAUGUGGUUAACUAUGGAGAGUGUAUUCGUCCUCUUUGACAAAAGUGGGCCUCUGCUUCAUGUCUGAGGAACACCUGGCACACCUUGACAAGGGAUUGAUCUCAAGCUGUGUGCGUUUGGCGAUGGCAGCCCUGCAGAGACAAAAGGUGAGGAGCUGCGUGGAUGUUAGUCAGGCAGGUAGGCAGAAUAAUGGAAUCAAUACUAUUGUCUGUAACCUACCUGCCGCUGGGCUCUCUGUCUGGCCCCGGCACAGACCAUCAGAGAGAGAGAGAGAGACAGAGAGAGAGACAGAGGGGGGAGCUGAGAGGCAACAGAGACUCACUCUGACCGGGAAGAAAAAGAAAAGAGGAGGCUGGCCGUGAGAUGGAGUCACGGCUCAUACGCCCUCCUUGUCCUGUCUUCAGAUCAUCGAAAAGUAGUGUCAUCCAUCCAGCUGCUGCAGUGCUGAGAUCAUUUGAGACCUGCUGUUGAAAAAUCUUACCUUGCUCCUUUCACUGCUGCACUGCGAGCAAACCGGGAGAGAGCGGCCGGUGCCGCAGAAUCCAAAUGUCAGAUGAGGUCAUGUCUUUGUCUCGGUGCAGCGACUCUGCGGUUUUUCCUUUUAAAACGUUUCUUCCCAGCGUUUUCCUUCUCUACGUGUAAUUACAGAUUUUUUGGUUGUUUGAAUAGAAGUAACUGCUGAGCGAUCCCACCCUCUCUGUGUAUUUUAGUUUCACAGUAUGCCCCUCUGUCCCUGAGACCCUUAACCUGUGAGGUCAAAGCAGGUCACAGGUGAGGUCCUCGGGAACAGGGCUGCAUUCAGUUUCAACGUCCCAGAACAAGAGUAACGUUUUGUGAAGAGAGGUAUAACUUAAUGAACAUUUUACUCCCCAGAAAGUCAAAUUGUGAUGUUUGAUGUCUUGCCAGUCUCGCCAUUCUUUUCAAUGCAAGAAAAACUCUCAGACGAUUAUGAUGUCACGUCGAAUGUAUCUGUCUCCAGCUGACUGUUUACCUGUCAUGUCAUGAUCAAGACCUGUCAGGUUGGAAAAGAAGAAGAAGAAGAAAACCCCUCCUCCUGCAGCACACACACAAUCUCAGGGGGCCAACCCUAUUGGCUGGCUUUGUGUUAUAGUCCUCUAUGGGGGGCCAAUAGGAAGACAGCCGAGGGUUGUGACCCCGUCAUUUAUGUCACCUUUAAAAACCAGAGAUGUUUGUAUAUCACAUACAUGUUUCUGUAUUUGUACUGGAAAUGCUGCAGUGUUUUAACCUCCGAAUGUCAA